RNAcentral lists this ribosomal RNA (253 nucleotides) under uncultured bacterium. RNAcentral describes it as "partial 16S ribosomal RNA". It matches the Rfam family "Bacterial small subunit ribosomal RNA", at positions 524 to 776 of the family's 1533-position model. The record is from RNAcentral.
UACGAAGGGGGCUAGCGUUGCUCGGAAUCACUGGGCGUAAAGCGCACGUAGGCGGAUUGUUAAGUCAGGGGUGAAAUCCUGGAGCUCAACUCCAGAACUGCCUUUGAUACUGGCGAUCUCGAGUCCGGGAGAGGUGAGUGGAACUGCGAGUGUAGAGGUGAAAUUCGUAGAUAUUCGCAAGAACACCAGUGGCGAAGGCGGAUCUCUGGGCCGAUACUGACGCUGAGGAGCGAAAGCGUGGGUAGCAAACAGG